GUAACAACUCACCUGCCGAAGCAACUAGCCCUGAAAAUGGAUGGCGCUCUAGCGUCGUGCCUAUACCGGGCCGUCAACGGCAAAGUGGGCUGGUGACCGGCCGGUUAACGCCGGCCGUCUCGGCCGUUAAGCCUUGACGAGUAGGAGGCGCGCGGCGGUGUGCGCAGAAGGGUCUGGGCGCGAGCCUGCCUGGAGCCGCCGUCGGUGCAGAUCUUGGUGGUAGUAGCAAAUACUCUAGCGAGGGCCUGGAGGGCUGAUGUGGAGAAGGGUUUCUUGUGAACAGCCGUUGCACAAGAGUCAGUCGACCCUAAGCCCUAGGAGAAAUCCGAUGUUGAUGGGCAGCGAUCACUCGGCCGGGUCCGUUGUCUGUGUCGGUCGCGCGCGCAAUCUCAGUGUUGCGUUGUGCGCUAACACGCACGGCCUACCGUCGACUGCUCCCGUCGGGCGAAAGGGAAUCCGGUUCCUAUUCCGGAACCCGGCUGCGGAACCGUCACUUCGCGGGCACUCGCCUGCGAGCGCUCGUCGGGGUAACCCAAAAUGACCCGGAGACGCCGGCGGGAGGUCUGGAAAGAGUUGUCUUUUCUUUAUAAGCGUUCGAGUUCCCUGGAAUCCUAUAGCAGGGAGAUAGGGUUUGGAACGCGAAGAGCACCGCAGUUGCGGCGGUGUCCGGACCUUCCCCCCGGACCUUGAAAAUCCGGGUGAGGGCUACGCGGAAAUGUCGCGCCGGCUCGUACCCAUAUCCGCAGCAGGUCUCCAAGGUUAAGAGCCUCUAGUCGAUAGAAUAAUGUAGGUAAGGGAAGUCGGCAAAUU
This 810-nucleotide ribosomal RNA is filed under the name Palmallorcus punctulatus. RNAcentral's name for it is "partial large subunit ribosomal RNA". It matches the Rfam family "Eukaryotic large subunit ribosomal RNA", at positions 1282 to 1923 of the family's 3401-position model. The record is from RNAcentral. Lineage: Eukaryota; Metazoa; Arthropoda; Insecta; Hemiptera; Issidae.